GUAUCGGUUGAACUUUUCUUAUUUUUCAGAUUCAAAAAUCUGUUUGCUCUACAAAGUCGAUGAGUGCAUCUAAUCAGUUCUGCAGCGCCAUGGUGAACGUUGGGAGGUGUUGGCACGGAAGACGGAGCGGGAAAACGUUCACGACAACUAUGCGGUGAGGAGGAUAUCAACGGAUUGUGCAUUUACAGUUAGCGGGUGAGCCCACGCUGUACCUCGUAGGAGAACCUGGCCAUGGGUAUCGGAGAAUGCAUAUCGUAUGCCGGGAUCGUGCUUG
Molecule: long non-coding RNA, 274 nt
Organism: Anopheles stephensi (Asian malaria mosquito)
Lineage: Eukaryota; Metazoa; Arthropoda; Insecta; Diptera; Culicidae
Exons: 2
Source: RefSeq, a predicted model, not a curated record